UCAGCCGCCGCGGUAAUACCAGCUCCUCGAGUGGUCGGGGCGAUUAUUGGGCCUAAAGCAUCCGUAGCCGGUUCGGUAGGUCCCCUGCUAAAUCCAAUCGCUCAACGAUUGGCCCGCAGGGGAUACCGCCGGACUAGGAGGCGGGAGAGGAGGACGGUACUCCGCGGGUAGGGGUAAAAUCCUUUGAUCCGCGGAAGACCACCAGUGGCGAAGGCGGUCCUCCAGAACGCGCUCGACGGUGAGGGAUGAAAGCUGGGGGAGCGAACCGGAUUAGAUACCCGGGUAGUCCCAGCCGUAAACGAUGCGAGCUAGAUGAUUCAGUCGCAAAUCGCGCCUGAAGUGUCGCAGGGAAGCCGUUAAGCUCGCCGCCUGGGGAGUACGGUCGC
This 386-nucleotide ribosomal RNA is filed under the name uncultured archaeon. Its description in RNAcentral is "bacterial SSU rRNA". It matches the Rfam family "Archaeal small subunit ribosomal RNA", at positions 458 to 844 of the family's 1478-position model. The record is from RNAcentral.